AGCGCAGGCGGACCGGCAAGUUGGAAGUGAAAACUAUGGGCUCAACCCAUAAAUUGCUUUCAAAACUGCUGGCCUUGAGUAGUGCAGAGGUAGGUGGAAUUCCCGGUGUAGCGGUGGAAUGCGUAGGUAUCGGGAGGAACACCAGUGGCGAAGGCGACCUACUGGGCACCAACUGACGCUGAGGCUCGAAAGCAUGGGUAGCAAACA
Molecule: ribosomal RNA, 207 nt
Filed under: uncultured bacterium
Lineage: Bacteria
Description: partial 16S ribosomal RNA
Rfam family: Bacterial small subunit ribosomal RNA
Source: RNAcentral